Molecule: transfer RNA, 72 nt
Filed under: Camelus bactrianus (Bactrian camel)
Lineage: Eukaryota; Metazoa; Chordata; Mammalia; Artiodactyla; Camelidae
Also listed under: 1 other name
Rfam family: tRNA
About the family: Transfer RNA (tRNA) molecules are approximately 80 nucleotides in length. Their secondary structure includes four short double-helical elements and three loops (D, anti-codon, and T loops).
Source: Rfam by way of RNAcentral
GAGGUUAUAGCUCAGUGGUGGAGUGUGUGCUUAGCAUGCACAAGAUCCUGGGCUCAAUCCCCAGUACCUCCA